Molecule: ribosomal RNA, 256 nt
Filed under: uncultured Hypocreales
Lineage: Eukaryota; Fungi; Ascomycota; Sordariomycetes; Hypocreales
Description: partial large subunit ribosomal RNA
Rfam family: Eukaryotic large subunit ribosomal RNA
Source: RNAcentral
AUAUCAAUAAGCGGAGGAAAAGAAACCAACAGGGAUUGCCCUAGUAACGGCGAGUGAAGCGGCAAUAGCUCAAAUUUGAAAUCUGGCCUUUGGCCCGAGUUGUAAUUUGAAGAGGAUGCUUUUGGUGCGGCGCCUUCUGAGUUCCCUGGAACGGGACGCCACAGAGGGUGAGAGCCCCGUAUAGCUGGACGCCUAGCCUCUAUAAAGCUCCUUCGACGAGUCGGGUAGUUUGGGAAUGCUGCUCAAAUGGAAGGUG